UGAAUACGAGAUGCUACGGCGUCGAAGCAGUCUAUGUCAUACUUCCAAGAAAAGCUCGCACUGUCAUAAACAAAUAAUGCCUGUACCAUAACCGACACAGGUGGGUAGGUAGAGUAUACUAAGGGGCGCGAGAUAACUCUCUCUAAGGAACUCGGCAAAAUGACUCCGUAACUUCGGGAGAAGGAGUGCCUUAUUUAUAAGGUUGCAAUAACAAGAUCCAAGCAACUGUUUAUCAAAAACACAGGUCUCCGCUAAGUCGUAAGACGAUGUAUGGGGGCUGACGCCUGCCCAGUGCCAGAAGGUUAAAGAAGUUGGUUAGCAUUCGCGAAGCUGAUAACUGAAGCCCUGGUGAACGGCGGCCGUAACUAUAACGGUCCUAAGGUAGCGAAAUUCCUUGUCGGGUAAGUUCCGACCCGCACGAAAGGCGUAAUGAUUUGGAUACUGUCUCGGAGAGGGGCUCGGUGAAAUAGACUUGUCUGUGAAGAUGCGGACUACCUGCACCAGGACAGAAAGACCCUAUGAAGCUUUACUGUAACUUGAGAUUGAAAUUGGACUUUACUUGCGCAGUAUAGGUGGGAGGCGUUGAUAAUAUUCUUGCGGGAUUAUUUGAGCCAUCAGUGAGAUACCACUCUUGUAAUGUUAGAUUUCUAACUUUGUAUCAUUAUCUGGUCAAAGGACAGUUUCAGGCGGGCAGUUUGACUGGGGCGGUCGCCUCCUAAACGGUAACGGAGGCGCACAAAGGUUUCCUCUGAACGGGUAGAAAUCGUAUCUAGAGUGUAAAGGCAUAAGGAAGCUUGACUGUGAGACCUACAAGUCGAGCAGGGACGAAAGUCGGUCUUAGUGAUCUGACGGUGCUGAGUGGAAAGGCCGUCACUCAACGGAUAAAAGUUACUCUAAGGAUAACAGGCUGAUCUCCCCCAAGAGUUCACAUCGACGGGGAGGUUUGGCACCUCGAUGUCGGCUCAUCGCAUCCUGGGGCGGUAGUACGUCCCAAGGGUUGGGCUGUUCGCCCAUGAAAGCGGUACGCGAGCUGGGUUCAGAACGUCGUGAGACAGUUCGGUCCAUAUCCGGUGUAGGCGUUAGAAUAUUGAGAGGAGCCUUCUUUAGUACGAGAGGACCGAGAAGGACAUACCUCUGGUGUACCAGUUAUCGUGCCAACGGUAAACGCUGGGUAGCUAUGUAUGGAGUGGAUAACCGCUGAAAGCAUCUAAGUGGGAAGCCCACCUCAAGAUAAG
Molecule: ribosomal RNA, 1235 nt
Filed under: metagenome
Description: bacterial LSU rRNA
Rfam family: Bacterial large subunit ribosomal RNA
Source: RNAcentral